UGCCUCUUGAACAAUAAUAAGAGGUACCUCCUGCCCAGUGAAAAAAUUUUAAACGGCCGCGGUAUCCUAACCGUGCAAAGGUAGCAUAAUCACUUGCCUAUUAAUUGUAGGCUAGAAUGAACGGAUAAACGAAAUAAGAACUGUCUCAACUGGUUUUAUAAAAUUUAUACUCUAGAUGAAGAUAUCUAGAUAAAGACGCAGGACAAGAAGACCCUAUAGAGCUUUAUUUUUAUACAAAAAUAAAUAUUUCAUAAUAAAAUUCGGUUGGGGCGACCAAGGAUACAAUAAUCAUCCUAUUAUUUAAAGACUUAUAAAUCUCUAACAAGACCCUUAUUCAAGAUCUUAAGAACAAGCUACCUUAGGGAUAACAGGCUAAUCUCACUUGAGAGUCCUUAUCUAUAGUGAGGGUUGGCACCUCGAUGUUGGCUUAGGAUAUCUAUAUGGCGCAAAAGUCAUAAAAUGAUGGUUUGUUCAACCAAUAACUUCCU
This 488-nucleotide ribosomal RNA is filed under the name Glyphidrilus papillatus. RNAcentral's name for it is "partial small subunit ribosomal RNA". It matches the Rfam family "Bacterial large subunit ribosomal RNA", at positions 1819 to 2597 of the family's 2925-position model. Lineage: Eukaryota; Metazoa; Annelida; Clitellata; Crassiclitellata; Almidae. The record is from RNAcentral.